CCUACGGGGGGCACCAGUGGGGAAUAUUGGACAAUGGGGGCAACCCUGAUCCAGCCAUGCCGCGUGUGUGAAGAAGGCCCUCGGGUUGUAAAGCACUUUCAGUGAGGAAGAACGCCUGGUGGUUAAUACCCAUCAGGAAAGACAUCACUCACAGAAGAAGCACCGGCUAACUCCGUGCCAGCAGCCGCGGUAAUACGGAGGGUGCGAGCGUUAAUCGGAAUUACUGGGCGUAAAGCGCGCGUAGGUGGCUUGAUAAGCCGGUUGUGAAAGCCCCGGGCUCAACCUGGGAACGGCAUCCGGAACUGUCAAGCUAGAGUGCAGGAGAGGAAGGUAGAAUUCCCGGUGUAGCGGUGAAAUGCGUAGAGAUCGGGAGGAAUACCAGUGGCGAAGGCGGCCUUCUGGACUGACACUGACACUGAGGUGCGAAAGCGUGGGUAGCAAACAGGAUUAGAUACCCUGGUAGUC
This 465-nucleotide ribosomal RNA is filed under the name Vreelandella stevensii. RNAcentral's name for it is "partial 16S ribosomal RNA". It matches the Rfam family "Bacterial small subunit ribosomal RNA", at positions 338 to 795 of the family's 1533-position model. Lineage: Bacteria; Pseudomonadati; Pseudomonadota; Gammaproteobacteria; Oceanospirillales; Halomonadaceae. The record is from RNAcentral.